This is a long non-coding RNA of Brassica rapa (field mustard), 377 nucleotides long. RefSeq lists it as uncharacterized. The record is from RefSeq and is a predicted model, not a curated record. Lineage: Eukaryota; Viridiplantae; Streptophyta; Magnoliopsida; Brassicales; Brassicaceae.
AAAAAAGAGACAAACAUAAAAGAUACACAAGACUAAAAAAUAAAAGAUGGAGAAGAAGUGCAUGUGCAUGUUGAUGAUUAUGUUCGUUGCAUUGACGAUGAUACCAUUACCAGCAAUGAGUGAAUCGUAUGAAGCUUGUCAUGAAAGGUGCAUUCACUCGUGCCAAAUAUUUUUUGAGGGAGUUGAAAAAUGCAUUCACGAUUGUGUUGGUAUUAAAUGUCAUAAAACACAUGUACUCCCUCGGAUAGCGGCUAAAGAGAUAUUUCAAGAAAUUCAUACAUAGAGAGAUAUGUUAUUAAACACACAUGAUGUUUAAGUUUACUACUCUUUGAAUUAUAUAAUUUUGAAUAAUAAAAUUCCAUCAUUCUUAGAAUUCA